RNAcentral lists this small RNA (495 nucleotides) under Pan troglodytes (chimpanzee). RNAcentral describes it as "processed transcript". The record is from RNAcentral. Lineage: Eukaryota; Metazoa; Chordata; Mammalia; Primates; Hominidae.
AGAUCCACACCUUUCUGGGUUCUGCCCAGCUGGAGAGGAUUUCUCUGACCUGGAGCCCAUCUGUGCUUUCAGCUGCUGCUGAGCCUCCCUCAGCGUCGAGCAGAAAGAGGCCCACUGCUCCUGCCUCCCGAGGAGGUUUUGGCAAAGGAGCUUGAGUUGGUGACGAAGGCUGGCUGCGUACUCGCCUGCCAGGUGCCUCCUCCGGCUGGCCUUCUCUUCUGCAGCCCAGGCAGCUGCCUCAGCAGCCUGGGUCAGAGACAACCCUGCCUGCUCACCUGCAGGCGCUACAGCCACCAGGGACAGCAAGCUCGGGGACACCCCGCUCACCUUGGGAACUCCAGAGUUAUUCUGGACAGGCAUGGCAGCAGCGGCAAAGGGGAUGAGAAAUUCCCAGAGAUGGUGGGAACUGUAGGGAAACAAUUCCAAGAAAAAGGACAUUCUUCACCCAGCAGCUCCUGCCAUAUUCACUGAGAUGUGUUUUUGUAUUUUCCUAUG